This 314-nucleotide long non-coding RNA is filed under the name Androctonus crassicauda. Lineage: Eukaryota; Metazoa; Arthropoda; Arachnida; Scorpiones; Buthidae. The record is from RNAcentral.
GUAAAAUUCCCAUCGAACAUUUUUCAUUUAUAUACAAAACAGAUUUUUAUAGUCCGUCAAAGAUGAAAUGGUCUCAAUGCGAUCGAUUAUUAAUUUUUACACAUUCUCGGGACAUAAAAACAAUCGUUUGACUAAUAUAGCAACCAUAACCAUGAAUUUUUCUUGGCUUAGUGAACCGUGUACACCAAUGGUUUCCAAACUUUCUGUAUUUGCACCACCUUUUUUUCAUAAAAAACUUGGUACGCCCCCAUUUUCAUCGCAGUCUAAUUUUAUACUUUCUACUUACAAUUUAAUACUACAAACCAGUAUACCAU